CCUACGGGAGGCAGCAGUGAGGAAUAUUGGUCAAUGGACGAGAGUCUGAACCAGCAAAGUAGCGUGAAGGAUGACUGCCCUAUGGGUUGUAAACUUCUUUUAUAUGGGAAUAAAAUGUUCCACGUGUGGGAUUUUGUAUGUACCAUAUGAAUAAGGAUCGGCUAACUCCGUGCCAGCAGCCGCGGUAAUACGGAGGAUCCGAGCGUUCUCCGGAUUUAUUGGGUUUAAAGGGAGCGUAGGUGGAUUGUUAAGUCAGUUGUGAAAGUUUGCGGCUCAACCGUAAAAUUGCAGUUGAAACUGGCAGUCUUGAGUACAGUAGAGGUGGGCGGAAUUCGUGGUGUAGCGGUGAAAUGCUUAGAUAUCACGAAGAACUCCGAUUGCGAAGGCAGUUCACUGGACUGCAACUGACACUGAGGCUCGAAAGUGUGGGUAUCAAACAGGAUUAGAUACCCGGGUAGUC
RNAcentral lists this ribosomal RNA (460 nucleotides) under uncultured bacterium. RNAcentral describes it as "partial 16S ribosomal RNA". It matches the Rfam family "Bacterial small subunit ribosomal RNA", at positions 338 to 795 of the family's 1533-position model. The record is from RNAcentral.